This 417-nucleotide ribosomal RNA is filed under the name uncultured bacterium. RNAcentral's name for it is "bacterial SSU rRNA". It matches the Rfam family "Bacterial small subunit ribosomal RNA", at positions 28 to 441 of the family's 1533-position model. The record is from RNAcentral.
GACGAACGCUGGCGGCGUGCUUAACACAUGCAAGUCUACGAGAACGAGAUAGCAAUAUUUUUAGUAAAGUGGCGCACGGGUGCGUAACACGUAAGCAAUCUACCUUUGGGUCUGGAAUAACUUCGAGAAAUCGAGGCUAAUACCGGAUAAUGCAGCGGCACCGCAUGGUGAUGUUGUUAAAGUUUGAGUAAUGCCUAUAGAUGAGCUUGCGUCUGAUUAGCUAGUUGGUAGGGUAAAGGCCUACCAAGGCUACGAUCAGUAGCUGGUCUGAGAGGAUGAUCAGCCACACUGGAACUGAGACACGGUCCAGACUCCUACGGGAGGCAGCAGUGAGGAAUAUUGGGCAAUGCCCGAAAGGGUGACCCAGCAACGCCGCGUGGAGGAUGAAGGCCGUAAGGUUGUAAACUCCUGUUAGAG